GACGAACGCUGGCGGCGUGCUUAACACAUGCAAGUCGAACGAUAAUGCUGGAGCUUGCUCCAGUUGAUUAGUGGCGAACGGGUGAGUAACACGUGAGCAAUCUGCCCUUGACUCUGGGAUAACUGCGGGAAACUGUAGCUAAUACCGGAUACUUUCACCGGGGGGCAUCCUCUGGUGAUGAAAGAAUUUCGGUCAAGGAUGAGCUCGCGGCCUAUCAGCUUGUUGGUGAGGUAACGGCUCACCAAGGCGACGACGGGUAACCGGCCUGAGAGGGUGGCCGGUCAAAAUGGGACUGAGACACGGGCCAGACUCCUACGGGAGGCAGCAGUGGGGGAUAUUGCAGAAUGGGCGCAAGCCGGAUUCAGCAACGCCGCGUGAGGGAUGAAGGCCUUCGGGUUGUAAACCUCUUUUAGCAGGGAAGAAGCGAAAGUGACGGUACCUGCAGAAAAAGCACCGGCUAACUACGUGCCAGCAGCCGCCGUAA
RNAcentral lists this ribosomal RNA (484 nucleotides) under uncultured bacterium. RNAcentral's name for it is "partial 16S ribosomal RNA". It matches the Rfam family "Bacterial small subunit ribosomal RNA", at positions 28 to 523 of the family's 1533-position model. The record is from RNAcentral.